RNAcentral lists this ribosomal RNA (253 nucleotides) under uncultured bacterium. RNAcentral's name for it is "partial 16S ribosomal RNA". It matches the Rfam family "Bacterial small subunit ribosomal RNA", at positions 524 to 776 of the family's 1533-position model. The record is from RNAcentral.
UACGAAGGGUGCAAGCGUUGCUCGGAAUUAUUGGGCGUAAAGCGCACGUAGGCGGCUUUGCAAGUCCCAUGUGAAAUCCCACGGCUCAACCGUGGAAGUGCAUGGGAAACUGCAGAGCUUGAGUACUUAAGAGGAUCGCGGAAUUCCCGGUGUAGAGGUGAAAUUCGUAGAUAUCAGGAGGAACACCAGCGGCGAAGGCGGCGCGCUGGGCCGGAACUGACGCUGAGGAGCGAAAGCGUGGGUAGCAAACAGG